This 453-nucleotide ribosomal RNA is filed under the name uncultured bacterium. RNAcentral describes it as "partial 16S ribosomal RNA". It matches the Rfam family "Bacterial small subunit ribosomal RNA", at positions 29 to 507 of the family's 1533-position model. The record is from RNAcentral.
AACAAACGCUGGCGGCGUGCCUAAUACAUGCCAGUCGAACGGGGUAGCAAUACCUAGUGGCGCACGGGUGAGUAACGCGUGGAUAAUCUGCCUAAGAGUGGGGGAUCACUAGUCGAAAGAUUAGCUAAUACCGCAUAAGAACACAAGAACUGCGGCUCAUGGGGCCAAAGGAUUUUCGCUGUAAGAUGAGUCCGCGUAAGAUUAGCUAGUUGGUGAGGUAAUGGCUCGCCAAGGCGACGAUCUUUAACUGGUCUGAGAGGAUGAUCAGUCACACUGAAACUGAGACACGGUACAGACGCAUACGGGAGGCAGCAGUAGGGAAUAUUGCACAAUGGAGGCAACUCUGAUGAAGCGACGCCGCGUGAGAGAUGAAGGUCUUCGGGUCGUAAAGCUCUGUCGCAGGGGAAUAACGCAAUGAAUGUACCCAGUAAGAAAGGAUCGGCUAACUUCGUG